AGCUAUAGUUUUACUGAAUUGUCUUUUUUUAUUUGUUUAUGAAAUUUAGGUGCUUAUUAAUUGGCUGUCGGCUGUGUGGAUAUAUAUUGGGAAAGCGAGGGGGGUGGUGGAGGUGGUCAAAGUGGGUGGAGGCUACAAUGAGAUUGUUAAGGUCAAGCUCAAGUUCAUCAAAGGAGCAGUGCAAUGGAGAGAAAACUCGGGCUUUGUUGUAUCUUAAUGUAUAUGAUCUCACACCUGUAAACAACUAUCUCUAUUGGUUCGGCCUCGGAGUGUUUCAUUCUGGUAUAGAAGGUACUAAAGCUUUCUGAUUCUCCUUUUACUGUGUAUUGUUAUAAAUAUUGCUGUUACAUCUAAUUUUGGGAUGAAAGUAAAGCAGAGUCUAGGGUGUGUAUAGUUUGAUCUAAAUCGGUAAAGGUAGUUACUUUGACAUGGUAUGUAAUUCUAUGUUUUAAUUUGGCACCACACAGGAAGAGAUCUUUCUCAAUGAAUGAUAGGAGAUUAUAAUGUUGCAAUUCUCCAUGGGGUUAUCGCCCUAACUUGAAAUGGUAAAACAAUGAGAAGUAAUUCAAGGUUUAGAGGGUGGCAUCAGUUGUUAGAAGUAGUUAUGCCGGUAUCCAGAGAUAUAGUGGCAUUGGAAUGUUUGUCGGACACACUAGCAUUGCAGGACAUCAACAGGAAGACGAAAAAUUGGCCAGACACACAUUGGCCAGCUCUACCUACUGAUAGUGGAAGCUAUUUGAAUCUCUACCAAGAUUGUAGAGACUCUGAUACCAUGUGUAAAUGGAAAAGAGCUCUCGUUGACUUGACUAAAUAACAAUCUAGACGCGUAUUGAUCUAGAUACAUAUUCACUUGAUAUUCUAACACUUUUCUCUGUCAUAAUUAGUUGUAGUUUCAAGCCUCUUCAAUUCUUACCUCCUGCUAUAUUUCCUCAUUUCGGAUCCUUGUGAUAAAUAUAAUUUCCUUCUCAACAUUUUUUUUAAGUUUUCCAUUCCUUUUGAAAUAUUGUUGAGAGAUCCCUUGUCACCUCAAACCCCUCAUAUGACACAUCCAAAACUCUAUCAAAGGCAAUAUCUUUUUCGCCGCCGUAUUGAAUCUUUCACUGAAUCUUCCACCUUUUCUUCAGGUCUAUUAUCGUCUGGUACAAAAGGUUCAAUUGCCAUUAUGGGGAGUUGGUGAAGAAGGUGUCAGCUUAAAUGUAGUUGACUUUCAGAACCUACUGGUCUUGUAGCCUAUUGAGUAAAUGUGCUUACUGGCAUGGAUAAUGAACUGGCUCAUAGAUGGUUAAGAUAAAUUAUUUCUUAAAAAGAAGUUGACAUGGUAAUACACUACUAGUUGAUAAAUUUAGAGAUAUGUCUGCAACUACUGUUGACCUAGCUGGUGGAAAAGAGGGCAGAUGGUUUGCAUUCAAUAGUCAUAUCUUAGAAACUGAAAUUACUUAUUAACUUUUCUUGGUUACUUCUGGAUAUAUAUUGGACAAUAGAAUGAUAACCACCGUGAAGCUUGUCAUGUGAAGCAUAAUCAGAGCCCAACAUGUCUUAUGCUUGCUUAUUCAUACAUUAUAAAAAAAAAUUGCUUCUUUACCUGUAGUAUCAAGAAAUCACAAAGACAAGAUGCUUUGUCAAAUCAUUUCAAAUUCCUGUCACCUUCGUGUACGUUUAGUCUUGAGAGAAUCAUGUAUGCGUUAAACCAGAAUAAAAUUAGAAAAAUGAUAACCCAAAGAAUGCCAGGGGAGGGGAAAAAGUGAAACAGUGGAAUUAUGGCCUUUGUCUGGAUAAAUUACAUCAAGCUCUCUCCCCAAUAUCUACCCACCCUUGUAGGAGAUUAGACAAUUCCAUUUAUAGCAAAUUGGUUAUUUAAUAAGACUAUUAGUUUGCUGCUAACAUUGCAAUUUAACUCAUGCUUUAUAUGCAAAACAAAUGACUCCUUAGGUUUUUGAAUUCUUCUGAUCAAGCCCCCCACAUGUGAUGUUAUGUUGUUUGGAGAAUUGGUGCUUGUGGUGAGAUCGAGAACCUUGGCAUGUAAACUAUCCAUGAUGUUUUCUCUUUCUCAAAGCUGUCUGGUCUGCUCUAGUUAUGAAGAACCAAAGCAGGAUGUAUGAAUAAGGGCCCUUAGCUUUAUUCUUCUAGUUUAAUUGUUAUGGUUUUAUGAAUAGUUUUUUUGGUUGCCUUC
This 2170-nucleotide long non-coding RNA is filed under the name Nicotiana benthamiana. RNAcentral describes it as "long non-coding RNA (NBEN_LNC030187)". Lineage: Eukaryota; Viridiplantae; Streptophyta; Magnoliopsida; Solanales; Solanaceae. The record is from RNAcentral.